RNAcentral lists this ribosomal RNA (515 nucleotides) under uncultured bacterium. RNAcentral describes it as "partial 16S ribosomal RNA". It matches the Rfam family "Bacterial small subunit ribosomal RNA", at positions 28 to 523 of the family's 1533-position model. The record is from RNAcentral.
GAUGAACGCUGGCGGCGUGCCUAAUACAUGCAAGUCGAGCGAAUGGAUUAAGAGCUUGCUCUUAUGAAGUUAGCGGCGGACGGGUGAGUAACACGUGGGUAACCUGCCCAUAAGACUGGGAUAACUCCGGGAAACCGGGGCUAAUACCGGAUAACAUUUUGAACCGCAUGGUUCGAAAUUGAAAGGCGGCUUCGGCUAUCACUUAUGGAUGGACCCGCGUCGCAUUAGCUAGUUGGUGAGGUAACGGCUCACCAAGGCAACGAUGCGUAGCCGUCCUGAGAGGGUGAUCGGCCACACUGGGACUGAGACACGGCCCAGACUCCUACGGGAGGCAGCAGUAGGGAGUCUUCCGCAAUGGACGAAAGUCUGACGGAGCAACGCCGCGUGAGUGAUGAAGGCUUUCGGGUCGUAAAACUCUGUUGUUAGGGAAGAACAAGUGCUAGUUGAAUAAGCUGGCACCUUGACGGUACCUAACCAGAAAGCCACGGCUAACUACGUGCCAGCCGCCGCAGUAA